Non-coding RNA from Vicugna pacos (alpaca), 3369 nucleotides. The record is from RefSeq and is a predicted model, not a curated record. NCBI's taxonomy places the organism in Eukaryota, Metazoa, Chordata, Mammalia, Artiodactyla, Camelidae.
AACAACUGUUUGUUUUUAAUUGGAAAAAAAGGAAAGAAACGGAGGGGUCUGAAGAUAUUCCACUCUGGCUUGGGGGAUGGAGGAAGAGGCAAGAGGCCAGGAAAGGCAAGCAGCCUUUACAAGCUGGAAAAGGCAUGGAAAUGGCCCCCAGGAGCAAACAGUCCUGCCGACACCUUACUAUUCGCCCUGUGAGAUGGGUUUUCCACUUCCGGCAAAUACAUUUCUCUUGUUUUAAGCCAUGGAGUUGGUGGCACUUUGUCACAGCAGCAGUGAGAAACAUACAGUCAUGCAGCCCGGUUCAGUGUCUUGUAUUAAUUCAGCAAACUAUCCAUCCAUCUCUUGUCUCGGCUGGCUGGCAUCUGGAGGAGCACGCUGCAGGUGGAGGACACGCAAGAACUGCCUGCUGGGUGAGAACACUGAGAGCUGAUUGUGUACGUUGUUGAUUGUAUCCGCCCUUUGGAUUCAUCACUGCCUUCGCACCUGUAGUACAGAGGAGAAGUGAAUGCUGAACAGAUACUUGUACAAAGUGUACGUAGAUGAUGUGAUGAGGCCAUGACAGUGCACUCUGGGGAAUGCUGGCAGAGAGAGCAACAGGGACCUGAAUCAGAUCCUGGGGUCGGGCAAAGCCCCCUGGGUGCACAGUCGAAAUGAGGACUGGACACAUCUUCUCUCGGUUCCAGCUCCAAUGACAGAAACUCUUUCUGCACCAGGAGGCGACCUGAUUGGAGCUCUCCUGGUGUUCACCGUUGUCUUAACGGUGGGAGGCUGCCAUUUGUUCCUGGAGGAAACGUGACGAGGGCUAAGCCUGGCUCUGAGCUUGAAGGGGUGAUGACGACGUUUGCAGUCGUUCUGCCAUUAAUGCAGAGCGCCCUCCCAUCCAUCUCCUGGCUCCCUGCACGCCGUUCGCGGUCCGCCUGAUGAAUGGUGGUCGCAUCAACACUCUGCAGGGAUGGGAGAAGGGACCACUGCCCCAUAUCCACUGCCGUCACAAGGCACGGGUGAGCCUUGUCCUGGCUGUUGGGGCCGCAGGCACUUUCUGAAGUGGAGCUGGAGCCCAGGGCUACAUUCGUGCUCAUUGGGCAUCUCGGCGCAGGGAAAGGGACAGAGCUGGGGACAUGACACUGAACACGGCAGAAUCCCUGCACCCAGGUGUUGGUGACGGGUGGGAGAGGUGAAUGCAAACGCUCAGAAUACAAACCCUAGAGUAUUAUCAUGGAAGCAAGAAGUGAGAUUCAGCAAACUCUGAGGAGCGCAGGAGAGCACCGAGGGGCCUGGAAGGAGCUCGGAGUCUGGUAAAUGAAGAGGAGAAGACACUGGGGGUGGGGCAGCGAGAGCGAAGCCUCCCCACACUUCAGGGCUCUGGACCAUUGGGGACAUGGCUUCCUGCCUCCUCCCUUUUCUCCUCACACCAGCAAGGACAGCAGGGACCAUUUCUUGAGUGUUUCCUGUGUGGCCGACUGGCUAGAAGAUGGAUACACGCCACCUCUUCCUCCAUCCUCACAACAGCACCCCCCAUUACAUAACUAUGACGUCCUCACCCCCGGCCUUGCAGUUAGGGUUUACAGAUAACGAAUGGAGUUCACCUGCCCUGGGAUUUGACCUGUACUGGAAAAUCACCAUUCGGCACAGCGCACGGCCCUGCAGGAGGAAUCUCCGAAGCACAGUGGUUGGGACGAGAGGCGGGUUGAGCAGAAGUGAACCUCGCAGGGGAGGAAAGCUGUCAGCCUUGGCCGUGGCCUGGCUGCGUGGUCUGAGGUAACUCAGAGUGCUCCCGCGAGCCUGUCUCCUCUAUUAAACAGUGAGCUCCAGGGACCAGGUGUGCGUCCUGGUCCUCUGCCUCGAUGCCUGGCUCCUGGGAGUUCCUCACUAAACAUCUGUUGAACAAAGGAGGAGACACAUCAGUGUCCCUCUUGCCUGCUGUGACCUUAAUGCCAUCCUUGUUGUGUGGCCAGGCCGUGGCCUGGCCCCAGUGAGGUUUCCAGCCUCAUUACUGGUGAAAAGUACUUUUAGAUGCCUGAUUAUUUCCUUGUUUGCUGCUCCAUCCCUAAUCAGUCCGGCCCUCUGAUCUCCCCGCUGGGCCUCGGCACCAUGUUACCUCUCCUUGCCCUAAAUCCAUACUCUCAGGGCAGCCGCAGCCCUCCUGUCUGGAGUGCGGCCGCUCCGGUGCAGCUCCUGGCGCAGCCUGCCCACUCCUAGGUACACGUGGGUUCCGUCUGAGGAGGGCAAGAGGGGGCACGACGUGAGGAUGAGAGUAAGUUUGGAUCCUGGGGUUCGAACAGAUUUGAACCUCUGUGUGCACCACAUCUCCCGCCACCACAGACAGCUGAAGGGUGACUGGUUUAAAAACUAAACUUUUCAUUUUGAGGUGCUUACACAUUCACACACAGUGGUAAGAAACAACACAGAGAGAUCUGUGUCUCUUUUACUCACGUUCCCCUAUUGGUAACGUCUACAGAACUAUUGUACAAUGUCACACCGGGAUACUGACACUGAGACGGUCAAGACAUCGAACCUUCCACCCGCAGAGGUCUCUCACGCUGGUCUUUUACGGCCACACUUACUUCCUUUUACUCACCCCUCACCCCCGCCAUCCCGCAUCCUGAACUCCUGACAACAGCUAACCUGCCCUCCAUGUCUGCGAUUUUGUCAUGUCAAGAAUUUAAGGAAAAAGGAAUCUUACAGCAUGUAACCUUGACUCUUUCACUCGGCAUAAUUAUCUGCAGAUUCGACCGAGUUGCUCUCUGUGUCAAGAGUCUGUGCCUUUUUUAUGGCUGAGUGGGAUGCCACGAGACGGAGGGACAAUGUCACUUGCUGAAGGACGUCUGGGUUGCUUCCAGGUUGGGAGCGUCACAAAGAAAGCUGCUCACAGACCUUCAUGGACAGGUUUCUGUGUGAACAGAAGUUUUCAUUUCUCUGGGAUGAAUGCCCUUUCCUCAUCCAGCUGAGCAGUUGGGCUCUUUUUCAUGCUAUCAGUUAGCGUGUUCAGGGAAGGCAAGCUAGUAUUACUAUUAGCUAAGGAAAAAUAAAAUUGAGAGGCGGGCAAUCUGUUGUCCCUAAAUGGUAUCGUCUAUUCCAAACUAAACAGGAGUGAUGUUCGUAUCAGUUUCUGUUCGUGGAGACCCCCAUCCCUUCUCCCCCUCUUCAGGAUGAACAGACAUUGCCUAUGUGACCAGCACAUACACAUCACACUUAUUAAGCUGUCUCUCCAACAGGUUAGCUAACCUCUUGGGAACGUAGGGUGAUGCCUCAGAGAUCAUAGACCCCCUGACAUCUGACUCAUUGGACCCUUCUGUAUUUCUAUGUGUUUACUCUCACACAGACUAAUAAUGGAACAGAGCUCUCAUCUGCAAAAUUAAAGAUCCUGGAACA